AACGAACGCUGGCGGCAUGCCUAACACAUGCAAGUCGAACGAGACCUUCGGGUCUAGUGGCGCACGGGUGCGUAACGCGUGGGAACCUGCCUUUAGGUUCGGAUUAACUCAGAGAAAUUUGAGCUAAUACCGGAUGAUGUCUUCGGACCAAAGAUUUAUCGCCUUUAGAUGGGCCCGCGUUGGAUUAGCUAGUUGGUGGGGUAAAGGCCUACCAAGGCGACGAUCCAUAGCUGGUCUGAGAGGAUGAUCAGCCACACUGGGACUGAGACACGGCCCAGACUCCUACGGGAGGCAGCAGUGGGGAAUAUUGGACAAUGGGCGAAAGCCUGAUCCAGCAAUGCCGCGUGAGUGAUGAAGGCCUUAGGGUUGUAAAGCUCUUUUACCCGAGAUGAUAAUGACAGUAUCGGGAGAAUAAGCUCCGGCUAACUCCGUG
RNAcentral lists this ribosomal RNA (433 nucleotides) under uncultured bacterium. RNAcentral describes it as "partial 16S ribosomal RNA". It matches the Rfam family "Bacterial small subunit ribosomal RNA", at positions 29 to 507 of the family's 1533-position model. The record is from RNAcentral.